Non-coding RNA from Mycena polygramma, 95 nucleotides. NCBI's taxonomy places the organism in Eukaryota, Fungi, Basidiomycota, Agaricomycetes, Agaricales, Mycenaceae. The record is from the annotation of a GenBank genome assembly.
GACCUGGUGGUGAAUGGUUCGCACCCACUUUUCGUCAAAACAGAACCGCAGUCAUCACUUGGUGGGAGUUCUCGGUUCGAAUCCGGGCCAGGUCA